Molecule: long non-coding RNA, 1615 nt
Organism: Oncorhynchus tshawytscha (Chinook salmon)
Lineage: Eukaryota; Metazoa; Chordata; Actinopteri; Salmoniformes; Salmonidae
Source: Ensembl
AGUUUUCAAUCUCCUCUCUCUCUUUCAGGAGAUUCAAUAGUUUUCAAUCUCCUCUCUGUCUUUUCAGGAGAUUCAAUAGUUUUCAAUCUCCUCUCUCUUUUCAGGAGAUUCACUAGUUGUGGACUUUGUACUUGUGCGUCAAUGUCAAAGUAUGUUUGACUCCAUGUACUUGGCGUCUGGUAUUAAAAAAAAGGCAGUUAACUUAACACCUUAAAUUGCCCCGUUGAAGCAAGUCGAUUGAAGCAAGUUGAGUGCUAGGUGCUGCUGGGUUCAGUUUGGAACCUUUCACCUGCUGAAUGCCUUAGGGCUUAACUGAAGCAUCCGUCUUCUAGGAAGAGAUAGAGAGAGACCAUGGUGGUGUCAACGAUGGCACCCUAUUCCCUACGUAGUGCACACAAGUAGUGCACCAUCAAGGGAAUAGGGUGCCAUUUGGGAUGCAUUGGGGUAACCCGUUAACACCAAACUCUAGAGGUUACUACAGGUCAGACCGUAUCUCAUUAACACCAAACUCUAGAAGUUACUACAGGUCAGACCGUAUCUCAUCAACACCAAACUCUAGAAGUUACUACAGGUCAGACCGUAUCUCAUCACCACCAAACUCUAGAGGUUACUACAGGUCAGACCGUAUCUCAUUAACACCAAACUCUAGAGGUUACUACAGGUCAGACCGUAUCUCAUUAACACCAAACUCUAGAGGUUACUACAGGUCAGACCGUAUCUCAUUAACACCAAACUCUAGAAGUCCCUACAGGGAAAACAGGAAGUCAUAGGAAGUAGUGGGAAGUGCAGCCAAAGGAAAACCACUGCAAAUACUACUGUACCUCAGGGAGUAGUACACCGUUUAAACUUAAUAUCACCACAAAAUCAAUAGGCCGCAUCAAAGAAACAAAACAUUAAAAACAUUCAAAUUAAUCCCACUUGUAAGGCACAAUAAAAUGGACAAAGUUUAGACUCAUUUCAAAAACAAAUACUACUAAAAAAAAGAAAACAAAUAUCUCAGAAAACAAAAGUUCCUUGAGUACGGUGUCUUGGCAUUGGUUGUCUAGUGAAGAGAAGGGGAGGGGUAUCGACCAAUACAACUUUUACUGAUCCUGAUGCCUCCCACUAAACACAAUCCUGAUGCCCCUCCCACUAAACACAGCCUGAGGCAGCCUCUCAGAAGUACCAGGAUGGAAGAGCCUGAGGCAGCCUCUCAGAAGUACCAGGAUGGAAGAGCCUGAGGCAGCCUCUCAGAAGUACCAGGAUGGAAACUCUCUCUUUACUGUUAAGGAGAGAGCCUUGUGUGGCCCAACUAGUACUCUAUUCCCUAUGUAGUGCACUACUUUACACCAGGGCCCAAGGUGCUUUGGUCAAAAGUAGAGCACUAUAAAGGGAAUAGGGUGCCAUUUGGGAUGCAUUCAGGGAGGAGAAGGCAACGAACAGAAAGAGGUUUAAAAAGUCCCUGGUAGGCGGGCGGAUCAGGCCGUUCUGGCAUCUCAGCCCCUGUUAGAUGGACAGAGGGAGAGAGGUGUUCAGUCGUUGUGUUUAUCCGAGGCUGUGAGGGGGGGGCUCAUUCAGUAGUUGUGUUUAUCCGAGGCUGUGAGGGGGGCUCAUUCAGUAGUUGUGUUUAUCCGAG